RNAcentral lists this ribosomal RNA (284 nucleotides) under uncultured bacterium. Its description in RNAcentral is "partial 16S ribosomal RNA". It matches the Rfam family "Bacterial small subunit ribosomal RNA", at positions 793 to 1055 of the family's 1533-position model. The record is from RNAcentral.
GUCCUGGCCCUAAACGAUGGGUACUAGAUAGUAGACUGGACAUGGGUUUACUGUCGAAGCCAAAGUGCUAAGUACCCCGCCUGGGGAGUAUGGUCGCAAGGCUGAAACUCAAAGGAAUUGACGGGGGCUCACACAAGCGGUGGAGCAUGUGGCUUAAUUCGAGGCUACGCGAAGAACCUUAUCCUGGGCUUGACAUGUGCGAAAGCGGAGGGAAGUAGGGGACGGAAACGCACCCCCAACGGUAUCCAGUCCGGAACCUUCUACAGGUGCUGCAUGGCUGUCGU